Molecule: long non-coding RNA, 618 nt
Organism: Megalobrama amblycephala (Wuchang bream)
Lineage: Eukaryota; Metazoa; Chordata; Actinopteri; Cypriniformes; Xenocyprididae
Exons: 2
Source: RefSeq, a predicted model, not a curated record
UUACACAGGUAAGACAAUUCCUAUACCCAUAAAUACCUGUCAAACAUGGUUUUAUUAAAGAAAAGUUAUUUUAAAAAAAUACUUUAAUUUUUACACAUAAGAAAGGUAUAGCAUGUGGCAAAAAGUGUAAUAUAGCCACACUGUGAGAUACAAGCAAGUGACGAUCGAGUGACGUCAUUCUUUAGGUUACGCGCAUGUAGCCAUGGCAACGCUCGGCUGCGUCGACAGUUAACGGUCCUGCCGGUGAUUUUCUCAGAUGAGGCCUUGAGUUUUCUCUUUCGUCGGUCGAAAAGUUGUUGUCCGUCGCGGCUGACCGUUACGGCCUAUCUUCAAAUGUACGCUAAUCUUGGUCUCACGAAUCCAAAUUGUCAGUAACAAAUGUUUCUUAAUAGACAAACGAUACCUGAAACAUUAUUGAAUGUGUUCAUUUUGUCGUUUUAGGUUAGAAGCCAUCGAAAAAAACUGCCAUCGGACUACCACAGCUGACAACGAGAGACGCGCGUGCACAACUGCAUAACACACACACACACACACACACACACACACACACACGGAAAGAGCACAACAAUUAUGAAACUGCUCAUUUACUAUAAAUAAAUAAAUGUAUUUUUCUCCUUA